This is a long non-coding RNA of Schistocerca gregaria, 1261 nucleotides long. RefSeq lists it as uncharacterized. NCBI's taxonomy places the organism in Eukaryota, Metazoa, Arthropoda, Insecta, Orthoptera, Acrididae. The record is from RefSeq and is a predicted model, not a curated record. The transcript has 2 exons.
CUGCAUUAAAACACAACUGUGCAACUAAUUUGCUGAACAAAAUCGUUUUUCCUCCUCGCUCUUUGGUUUUAGGCCAGGAUUGUCUACAAUAAAUGCAGUAGAAACUCUUGUGACAGUCAUACUUGACGGCUUCGAGAACAAAUCCAUCACUUGUGCUGUACUACUAGAUCUGAGUAAAGCAUUUGAUACUGUCUCCCAUGAAAUACUAAUAAAUAAACUAGAGCGCUAUGGUGUCAAAAUAACGAACUGGCAUUAAUCAGAUCAUACCUGACAAACGGAACUCAGGUAGUUAUAGUAAAUAGCCAGCAAUCAAAUGCUGUAAGUAGCUCAGUACUUGGACCUUUUCUCUUCAUGGUAUACACGAAUGACUUGCCUACUUUCAUGCUUCACAAGUCAAUAAUAUAUGCUGACGACACAACCCUGAUAACCUCAGAUAACAAAUUGGAGGAAGUGAAGAAACAAACAAAAGUAAUGCUUGAAAAGUCUGCCAUAUGGCUCCACAGUAACAAGCUGAUACUCAACAGUAGCAAGACUGAAACUAUGUAUUUCUUCUUGCACAAUCUACAGGAAAAAUUAAAUGAGUCUGACUCUGUAAGACUUCUAGAAAUGACCUGGACCUGAAAUUAACAUGGAACACCCACACGGAACUGUACGGAAUAAAAUUAUGGGGCAACUCAACUGGUGCUCAGACAGUGUUCAUGUGGCAGAAUAAAGCAGUUAGAGCAAUUACAGGUAUUAAAAGCCAAGAAUCAUGUCGAAAGCACUUUAAGGAACUUAACAUCUUAACAUUAUCUUCUCUGUAUAUAAAAACGUGUCCUCUUUCCAUAAAAAAACAAAUACAUACCUUACCUACCAGAACAGAUGUUCAUUCACAUGAUACCAGACAUAAAAACAAUCUUGAUGUAGACUUUACUAGGCUGUCUAAGGUCCAAAGUAGCUUUAAGCAAACAGUAUUAAAAUUAUAUAAUAAAUUACCACAACCACUGAAAGACCUACAAGGUGAUGCCUUCAAGAAGCAGCUGCACAAAUUGUUAGCUGAUAAGUGUAUCUAUGAUGUAAAUGAAUUGGAAUGUAGUAGAGAGUAACUAUGAUGUUAAGGAAUUAUAAUGUAGAGAAUAACUCUUUACCCUCAUGUAAUGUAAUCUGAAUGUACAUAGUUUCCCAAUUUUAGAGUCACUAUCAAAUGUAAUGUCAAAACUGUCUACUUCAACAAAUGUUGGCUAAUGACAAGUAAGAAUAAAUAAAUAAAUAUGAGUCUCUA